This 1079-nucleotide ribosomal RNA is filed under the name Chloropicon roscoffensis. Its description in RNAcentral is "partial Bacterial small subunit ribosomal RNA". It matches the Rfam family "Bacterial small subunit ribosomal RNA", at positions 315 to 1433 of the family's 1533-position model. The record is from RNAcentral. Lineage: Eukaryota; Viridiplantae; Chlorophyta; Chloropicophyceae; Chloropicales; Chloropicaceae.
GGGACUGAGACACGGCCCAGACUCAAUGAUAGAGGCAGCAGUAAGGAAUAUUAGACAAUGAGCGGAAGCUUGAUCUAGCUAUGUCGCGUGGGUGAUGUAAACCUUCGGGUAGUAAAGCCCUUUAAUUGGACAAAAGAUUAUGACUUAGUCCAAUCAAAAAGUCCCGGCUAACUUCGUGCCAGCAGCCGCGGUAAAACGGAGGGGACAAGUGUUAUUCGGAAUGACUGGGCGUAAAGGGUCCGCAGGCGGGCUUAUAAUUUCAAAGAACCAUCCCAAAGAACUCCUUUGGAUUAUCUUUGAUAAGUAUAGGUCUUGAGUCAGAUAGAGGAAAGUGGAAUGUCAUGUGUAGGGAUUAAAUUCGCGAAGAUGUGAUGGAAGGCCGAAAGCGAAGGCAACUUUCUGGGUCUAGACUGACGCUAAGGGACGAAAGCGUGGGGAGCAACAGGGAUUAGAUACCCCUUUAGUCCACGCCGUAAACGAUGAGUGUUCACUUUGGGUGUAAACAUCCGAGGUCUAGCUAACGCGUUAAACACUCCGCCUGGGGAGUACGGUCGCAAGGCUGAAACUCAAGGGAAUUGACGGGGGCUCACACAAGUGGUGGAUCAUCUUGUUUAAUUCGAUAAUACGCGCAAAACCUUACCAACCCUUGACAUCUUUUUUUUCUUUCCCUUAGGAGGGGGAAGAUUAUUAAAAAGACAGGUGCUGCAUGGCUGUCGGCAGUUCGUGUUGUGAAAUGUCUGGUUAAAUCCUAUAACGGACGCAACCCCUUCGAAAUUUUUCAUUUGCUUUUUCGUAAUGCCCAUGAGAAGUGGGAGGAAGGUGGGGAUCACGUCAAGUCCUCAUGGCCCUUAUGGGUUGGGCUACAAAGGUGAUACAAUGGUAAUUACAAAGGGAUGCAAUGAUGAAAGUCGGAGCAAAUCCUAAAAAAUUAUCCUAGUUCGGAUUGGUCUCUGCAACUCGAGAUCAUGAAGCUGGAAUCACUAGUAAUCGUGGAUCAGCAUGCCACGGUGAAUAUGUUCUUGGGCUUUGUACACACCGCCCGUCACACCGGGGAAGUCGGGUUGAUCCGAAAACCUUAA